RNAcentral lists this ribosomal RNA (97 nucleotides) under uncultured bacterium. Its description in RNAcentral is "partial 16S ribosomal RNA". It matches the Rfam family "Bacterial small subunit ribosomal RNA", at positions 1386 to 1482 of the family's 1533-position model. The record is from RNAcentral.
CACACCGCCCGUCACACCAUGGGAGUUUGUUGCACCAGAAGCAGGUAGCUUAACCGCGAGGGGGGCGCUUGCCACGGUGUGGCCGAUGACUGGGGUG